RNAcentral lists this ribosomal RNA (397 nucleotides) under uncultured bacterium. RNAcentral describes it as "bacterial SSU rRNA". It matches the Rfam family "Bacterial small subunit ribosomal RNA", at positions 521 to 916 of the family's 1533-position model. The record is from RNAcentral.
UAAUACGUAGGGAGCAAGCGUUGUUCGGAAUUAUUGGGCGUAAAGAGCGCGUAGGCUGUUCGGUAAGUCCGAUGUGAAAGCCCAUGGCUUAACCGUGGAACUGCAUUGGAAACUGCCGGGCUGGAGUGCGGGAGAGGAGAGUGGAAUUCCCAGUGUAGAGGUGAAAUUCGUAGAUAUUGGGAGGAACACCGGUGGCGAAGGCGGCUCUCUGGACCGCAACUGACGCUGAGGCGCGAAAGCUAGGGGAGCAAACGGGAUUAGAUACCCCGGUAGUCCUAGCCGUAAACGAUGGGCACUAGGUGUUGGAGGUAUCGACCCCUCCAGUGCCGCAGCUAACGCAUUAAGUGCCCCGCCUGGGGAGUACGGUCGCAAGACUAAAACUUAAAUGAAUUGACGG